AGUGAACGCUGGCGGUAGGCCUAACACAUGCAAGUCGAACGGCAGCACAGUAAGAGCUUGCUCUUACGGGUGGCGAGUGGCGGACGGGUGAGGAAUACAUCGGAAUCUACUUUUUCGUGGGGGAUAACGUAGGGAAACUUACGCUAAUACCGCAUACGACCUACGGGUGAAAGCAGGGGAUCUUCGGACCUUGCGCGAUUGAAUGAGCCGAUGUCGGAUUAGCUAGUUGGCGGGGUAAAGGCCCACCAAGGCGACGAUCCGUAGCUGGUCUGAGAGGAUGAUCAGCCACCCUGGAACUGAGACACGGUCCAGACUCCUACGGGAGGCAGCAGUGGGGAAUAUUGGACAAUGGGCGCAAGCCUGAUCCAGCCAUACCGCGUGGGUGAAGAAGGCCUUCGGGUUGUAAAGCCCUUUUGUUGGGAAAGAAAAGCAGCAGGCUAAUACCCCGCUGUUCUGACGGUACCCAAAGAAUAAGCACCGGCUAACUUCGUG
This 492-nucleotide ribosomal RNA is filed under the name uncultured bacterium. RNAcentral describes it as "partial 16S ribosomal RNA". It matches the Rfam family "Bacterial small subunit ribosomal RNA", at positions 29 to 507 of the family's 1533-position model. The record is from RNAcentral.